RNAcentral lists this ribosomal RNA (95 nucleotides) under Salmonella enterica subsp. enterica serovar Typhimurium. Its description in RNAcentral is "partial 16S ribosomal RNA". The stretch from base 1 to 83 matches the Rfam family "Bacterial small subunit ribosomal RNA", at positions 1451 to 1533 of the family's 1533-position model. Lineage: Bacteria; Pseudomonadati; Pseudomonadota; Gammaproteobacteria; Enterobacterales; Enterobacteriaceae. The record is from RNAcentral.
CGCUUACCACUUUGUGAUUCAUGACUGGGGUGAAGUCGUAACAAGGUAACCGUAGUGGAACCUGCGGUUGGAUCACCUCCUUACCUUAAAGAAGC